GGCGCGGUGGACGAAUAGGAAGAGUCACCUGGCUUUCACCCAGGAACGUUGCGGGUUCGAGGCCCGUCCGCGCUAC
RNAcentral lists this transfer RNA (76 nucleotides) under Virgisporangium ochraceum. RNAcentral's name for it is "tRNA-Glu". It matches the Rfam family "tRNA". Rfam says of the family: Transfer RNA (tRNA) molecules are approximately 80 nucleotides in length. Their secondary structure includes four short double-helical elements and three loops (D, anti-codon, and T loops). The record is from RNAcentral. Lineage: Bacteria; Bacillati; Actinomycetota; Actinomycetes; Micromonosporales; Micromonosporaceae.